RNAcentral lists this ribosomal RNA (521 nucleotides) under uncultured Actinomycetales bacterium. RNAcentral describes it as "bacterial SSU rRNA". It matches the Rfam family "Bacterial small subunit ribosomal RNA", at positions 1 to 507 of the family's 1533-position model. Lineage: Bacteria; Bacillati; Actinomycetota; Actinomycetes; Actinomycetales. The record is from RNAcentral.
CUCCUCUCCGUGUGUCGUCGUUGCAGUUCUACAGAGUAGUUUGACUCUGGCUCGAGACACGCUGGCGGCGUGCUUAACACAUGCAAGUCGAACGGAAAGGCCCCUGCUUGCAGGGGUACUCGAGUGGCGAACGGGUGAGUAACACGUGGGUGAUCUGCCCUUCACUUCGGGAUAAGCCUGGGAAACUGGGUCUAAUACCGGAUAGGACCAAUCUUUAGUGUGGUUGGUGGAAAGUUUUUUCGGUGGAGGAUGAGCCCGCGGCCUAUCAGCUUGUUGGUGGGGUAAUGGCCUACCAAGGCGACGACGGGUAGCCGGCCUGAGAGGGUGGACGGCCACAUUGGGACUGAGACACGGCCCAGACUCCUACGGGAGGCAGCAGUGGGGAAUAUUGCACAAUGGGCGGAAGCCUGAUGCAGCGACGCCGCGCGAGGGGUGACGGCCUUCGGGUUGUAAACCUCUUUCGCUAGGGAAGAAGCCUUCGGGUGACGGUACCUGGAUAAGAAGCACCGGCUAACUACGUG